CGCCUUCCGCACCAAACCCACUCUGCCGAAACCUUCGUCACUUGAGGAGUUUUCGUUGAAACCUUCGUCGCUCAAAAACGUCCUUCGGCGAAACCUUCACCACCCAACAAGCCCUCUCUUCCCUCUUUUCGACGCUCUCACUCUUUUCAUCCUCAACCCCAACCACAACCCUAGUCUCGACUGGCCCCUUCGGUCCGCUGGAUCCUUUCUCUAUUCUUCAACCCCUCGAGAUUGUUCUUUGGUAAGGGGAGGGAAUUAGGGUAUCAAGUAUGAUGGAGGGCGAAAAGGGAUCCGGCCUAUGACGACGGAGGAGGAAGUGCUGAAGAAGAAUAUUGACUGCAUGUACUUCUUAGCUUCUCCAUCGACUUGCAAAAAGAUUUGUGUGUUGGGCUUCUUAGACAAGCUACAUAUACAACUUAAAUGCUUGGAUCAUUAAAUUCAUGAAGGGCCUUGAAAAUGUAUAUUGCGGAGGCGGGAAGGAAAGAGAAAAAACAACCAACAUGGGAAGUUGUCAAGGCUCCUCGACAACUGGAUGCGGAGCAAUGUGAUUUUUAUAUCAUGCGAUAUAUGAAAGAUAUAAUUGAAAAUUUUGGAGUUGGCCACAAGAAUUCACUUCCAUCAAUGUUUACAAAUAUCAAGUACUCUAUAGUUGAAAUUGAUGAAGUGCGGUUCGAGUGGACUUAGUGCAUGCUAGAUUACAUUUGAGUAGGAAAGGUAUUUGAUUUUUGGAAGCUUUGGAGGAUGUAUGCAUUUUCAUGGAAUGUAAUAUGUGAAUAUUAACUUGAUGUGUAUCCCUAUAAUAUAUAUUAGCUUUUUUUAUGUUGCAAGAAGAAUAUUUAUAUAUUGGUUACAUCGGUGGAUAUUGACUUGGUGCAUUUAAAUAUAUCGGUACAUUUUUAUU
This is a long non-coding RNA of Zingiber officinale, 901 nucleotides long. RefSeq lists it as uncharacterized. The transcript has 6 exons. Lineage: Eukaryota; Viridiplantae; Streptophyta; Magnoliopsida; Zingiberales; Zingiberaceae. The record is from RefSeq and is a predicted model, not a curated record.